CCUACGGGACGCAGCAGUGAGGAAUAUUGGUCAAUGGCCGAGAGGCUGAACCAGCCAAGUCGCGUGAGGGAAGACGGCCCUACGGGUUGUAAACCUCUUUUGUCGGGGAGCAAAGCGAGUCACGUGUGACUCAUUGAGAGUACCCGAAGAAAAAGCAGCGGCUAACUCCGUGCCAGCAGCCGCGGUAAUACGGAGGAUGCGAGCGUUAUCCGGAUUUAUUGGGUUUAAAGGGUGCGUAGGCGGACUGUCAAGUCAGCGGUAAAAUACGGGGGCUCAACCUCCGCCCGCCGUUGAAACUGACGGUC
This 305-nucleotide ribosomal RNA is filed under the name uncultured bacterium. Its description in RNAcentral is "bacterial SSU rRNA". It matches the Rfam family "Bacterial small subunit ribosomal RNA", at positions 338 to 641 of the family's 1533-position model. The record is from RNAcentral.